This 52-nucleotide transfer RNA is filed under the name Arabidopsis thaliana x Arabidopsis arenosa. Its description in RNAcentral is "tRNA-OTHER". Lineage: Eukaryota; Viridiplantae; Streptophyta; Magnoliopsida; Brassicales; Brassicaceae. The record is from RNAcentral.
GGCCCAUUAGCUCAGUUGGUUAGAGCGUCGUGCUAAUAACGCAAAUGGGCCA